Non-coding RNA from Manis javanica (Malayan pangolin), 12080 nucleotides. The record is from RefSeq and is a predicted model, not a curated record. Lineage: Eukaryota; Metazoa; Chordata; Mammalia; Pholidota; Manidae.
GAAGAAUCAAGACCUUGGGCGUGUUGCUUCGGUCCUUGAAGGGUCGCGACAAUUACUUCCAGAUAAAAAGUUCAAAUGAGCACUUGACAAUGUCCAGGAAUCCUACUGUGCUCCCAAAGGCAACACACUGACCUACUGCUGAUGACAGUGAUGGCAUGCCUUCACCUCUUGCCCCCAGCUGGCCCACAUCUGCCUACUUCUCAGUUAAUGACCUCAUCCUAUUAUCAUUCGGGAAAAAGAAGCCCUCAGAGUAGAGAACCUGAUCGCCCUCCUUCAAGAGAAGAGCCUCUGCUCUGAGGGCAGGCGAGCUGCCAUGCUGUGAGCUGCACUAUGGAGAAGGCCACCAGGCAAGCGCCUGAGGGAUCAAAGCUAGGGAAGAACUGAAACCUGCAGCCCAAAAGGCCACAAGGAGCUGAAUCAUGCCACCCACCAGUUUGGAAGCAGAUCAUCCUGCAGUCAAGCCUUCAAGGAGCCCACGUGCUGGCCAGUGACCUAACUGUAAUCCUCCUAAAGAUGUUGAGCCAGAGGCACCUAGCUGGGCCUCACCCUGAUGCUUGAGCCACUAAAACUGUGUUUGUUGUUUUAAGCCAUUAAGUUUGGGGUUAAUUUUGUUAAUCAGCAAUAGCUGACCAAUACAGAGACCUAGAGAGUUUAGGCAUAAUUGCCCCAAAUUCAUCCCUACAGUGCUUCCCCAUCAGUUACCUCCCUGUGAAGGGAACGGAAAAAGAAGCGAAGUGGUGAAAGUAGGAAAGACAUUUAGGAACAGAUGCUUUCUUACCUCUUCCCCUUUUUCAAGCACAUCAAAGAGAAGGCAUUAGUCCCACUGAAGAUGCCAUCUUGCUACAACCUCAAGAUAGAGAAACAUCUGCAAUAAUUUUAGGUAUUUGCAGCAAUGACUCAAGAAGGAAGCAGACAUUUUUUCCCCACUACUACCCCUAUCCAUCUCCAUCUUGCACCUCUGGCAUUUUCCCUAAGGUUGUCAUCCUUGCAGAAACAGCUGCAGAAGCAGAAAUGGAGGGCACAGGAGGCAUCCAGGAGUAGUGAAGUGAGAACAAAAGGAUGGUAGAGCAGAAGUGCUGUGUUUUAUUUCUUUUUCUGCCUCAGUGUAGUUCUUAGCACAACAUAAGUUCUUACCACACUGCCAACUAGCUAGGCAUCUCAUAAAUUAUGAGCUAAUUAUUUGGGCUCACAGAAGGACUUGUUCAGAUCUACUUUUACAAUUACCAGGGAAACAAAAUGAGAAUUACAUCUCUGUAAGUUCUAGCUCUCAAUUUUAUGGAAACACGUAUUGUUAGAAGGGGCCUCAUCAGUGAUACAAUGAAAAAUGUACAAGCGAGAGAGAAUAUCUCAUUAGGACAAAGUGAAAAGAUGCUACAGAGGCAUUCAGCAAAUUCUCAGUUGCUUCACAGGUUAUGAUGAACACCUUAGAGUUACUCUGAUGAAUGACAAAAGAUCUGAACUAUCACAACCUUCUGUCAGACCAGAAUGGACUUUCUUCCAUGUAUGAAUAUUUUUUAGUGACAGCAAUGUAAACUUAAACAAAAACAAAAACAAAGCCUUGAUUUUAUUUAUUUAUUUUUUGGGUUACCUUCCAGGCAGCAGAGGCUAUAUGACAAAGUACUGACCAGUGAAGUGAAAGAAGAAGUCUAUGGUAGGGCUUUUAAGAAAAUACAGACUUCCUGAUUUUAAAAAAGGAAUAAACUUAACUGGCAUAUGCCUUUGCUCUUUCUUUCUUUCUUUUUUGCUUGACUGGAAUGCAGUUACAAUGUCUGACGAUGCAGCAGCCAUCUUGUGACCAUUGGAAAAUCUAUUUGCCAGAGAACUUUUUCCUGCCCAGGCAGAAGGAGAACUUGGACCAAUCACAAACUGUGUUCCUACAGAGGGAUUCUAGGUGUAAAAGGGGACAGUCAAACCAGGCACUGCGCUGAUCACUCUGGAUGAAAUCUUCGGAUGAGAACCCAGGUGACACAGGACUAAGCGGAGUGAUGCCUGACAGUGAGGAAGAAAUGUGUACCUGAGGCCAGCAGGGGGAAAAGGCCUUUGCCCGAAGUCACACAGGACCAUCUGGCUCCGGAGUCCACACCACACCCACCUCCCUGAGUUGCCUCCAGAGCCUUCCAGUGUUGGCACACCCUUGAUUCUACAAGGCAGGGCAUCAUUGCCUUUGUUCUACCCAAGGAAAUGACCCAGAAGGAAGCCUACUUUGCCUCUAGUGCUCCUUUGAAGUCCUGAGCCAAGAGCUGACAGCAAGCUGCACCUCCCGCUUCCUCCAUUCAGCCUUUAGUGUCAGGACUGCCUGCCCAGCCCUGGCCCUGGCACCAGGCAGCACAGCCGGAGCUCUGGCCCCCAGGGUGUCUCUUCUCCACCCCAAAGCCUAGGAGACUUCACCCCCUUCUGGUGUCUGUUAUGUACAGUCUUCCAAGCAGCAUCCACCUCCACCCUCCCUUCCCAGCCUGGAGAGAGACAUGGGACAGAGGAAGAGAAGACAUGGAAGGCAAGAGCCUGGCCUUCCUAGCCUGCUAUCAGCGCUGGUGUCCAUGGCACAGAGGAGCGUCAUUCUGACGUCUCCAUUGUAAGUCUUCGAUGGUUAUCCUCUCACCUCUCCUGGUGAGAGGUGAGGGGCUGGAAUUUGGGAGAGUGAAGGGCCAGUAGCAACCCUCUGAGAACAGCCUGAAGUGCUCAACCACUUAGGAGCAUCUGCAUUUCUAAAAGAAAAUAAGUACAAGAAAAGCACUCUACAAUGAACAAGAGGGAUUUUAGGGAUGGAGAGCUCCAGGUGGUUUCCAGAUGCAGCAUCUGAUCAUGGGACUGGGUGGCUGCUGCACAGAAAUGGCAGCCGUCAAGAACCGCAGGGCUGGGUGUCUUAUCCUUGUGAGUAACGUCCAGGACAAUGGACAGAGCUGGGAUGGCUGCUCCCUCACAAGGCAGAUAUCAAGUCCUCUGCUUUAGGAGUUACCCUGAGUUCGUAAUACAGCCCCUGGAUGGGCAGAGGAAAGGAGUGUAUUCAGGUGUGUCAGCCUCAGCAGGAAGUUACUGCUGAAGUGGGUAGAAGAGGCUGUGCCAGACCAAGGGAAAGCUGCCGCACUGCUCCCUAAAGUGCAGUAGAGGGCAGGAAUGGGAGGAGCAUAUGCAAUUAGCUUCCUCCUGAAAGCAGUUCAAGGCAAGUCUGUCAUAGCAUGGGCCAAAUCUGGGCCAGUGUUUUGAGGAGGUGGAGGCUCUGGAAUCUCCUAGCUGGUUUACCUUGUACCAACUCAUGAAAUCCAACAAAUAUGUGUACACACCACUAACAAUAUCUAUUGUCUUCACUUCACAUGCACAAUGUAAUUCCAGCCUGUGGGAAGUUUAAUUAAGGAGAGGUCGCUAAUGGCAUAUAGCACAGGAUGAGGAAGUCUUUGCCAUUAAGUGCAGAAGGAAAGUAGCACGCAUUAUAUAAAAACAGAAAACUUUGUUCUUUGCACAGUAUACCUCAUUUUGGUCUUGAUCAGAGCUCCCUUAGGGAUAUAGAAGAAAUGUGAAGUGGCCGAAGAGGAAGGUUAGAUGGCCUGGGACAGAGAAGUGAAGACAAAAUGGACAGGAACUGUGGGAGGAGAGCUCUGUGAUAGCACCAGGGUGACCAGGCAUGUGUCCAUGACGUCUCAGCCUUACCACAGCAGGUGGAUUAACUGUUUCACCUGUGAUUAUUUGAAAACUGUGGACAGCUGAACAUGAAAUGGCUUUCUUAUUUUAUUGGAUUUUUUGGUAAUAUAUUUUUAACACCUAGACACACAUUUCUGUGCAUCUAGAACACUGUCCUGCAGAGCCUGAUUUGAAAAGCAGUAAGUGUGAUGGUUAAUUUUAUGUGCCAGCUUUGCUAGGCCACAGCACCCAAAUAUUUGGUCAGACUUUAUUCUAGAAGUUUCUGGAGGGUGUUUGGGAUGAGAUUUAUAUAUAAAUAAGUAGACUCCCUGAAUAACGCUGAUUGUCCUCCACAAUGUAGGUGGGCCUCACUCACUCAGCUGAGGGCCUGAGUAGUGCAAAAGGCUUGCCUCCCCCUGAACAAGAGGGGAUUCUGCCAGCCCUCAUCUUUGGGCUGUUGUAGGAAAACUACAGCAUUUUCCUGAGUCUCAGCCUGCUGACUGUUUCCAUCAGAUUUCUGACUCACCAAACUCACUCAUAUGAACCAAUCUCUUAAAAUGACUAUCUAUCUUUAUCUAUAGCAUCUGUUUCUACAUAUCCUAUCUGUGCCUCUGGAGAACCCUCAGACACUAAGUUAAUGUAAAUUUGGGAAGUGGAAUGGAGUCUGUUUCCAGGUUGUCAGUUUAAGUGUUAUUCAUGGUAAAAAAAAAAAAGAGCAAUAAGACCAUACAUGUUUCUAGUGUGCUAUACAGAUUUUGUUAAAAACCCAGGCAUUGAGACCAAAUAUUAAAUAUAUUAGAACAAAAAAAGAUGAAUCUUAAAAGCAAAACACCAACAUAAAAACUAAGGGAUCAAAAUAUCAAAUGAGAAAAAUUCUGGACUCUUACUGAGGUCUUAUCUAAAGCAAGCCAGACAAACAUAAAGCUUUUAGAUGACAGGCAGGCAGAAGCUUCAAUUCAGGGCUGGCUUAUGUGUUCCUGCUGUACAAGUAAAGCCAUAGAAAGAGGGAGGUGAGGUCGUGUGCUUCUGCACAAUAAAGGCACAGCCAGAGAAAAAUCAGUGCAAGGUUUGGAAGAGAAAGGCCCAAGACAAGGUCCCAGGACCCUCGCUGAUCUCACCCAGCAGGAGACAAGGGACCAGGAGCAGGUCAUACACCCUUCUGUGCAGAGGCUUCACCACCUCCUCACAGAUGCUACUUUGAAGCCUCCAGAGUUCUUACAGCUUCUAUUAGCCAUUUCUAAGUAUCUCAACACCAUACUUCUUAACUGUGCCUAUGGUCCACCCAUGACGGGACACACUGACUAUCCUUGCCUGAUUUCGGUACAGUAUAGCCUCCUAAAAAGUAUUUGAUGUUUACAAUAAAAACACAAGGACAUACAUUUAAAAAGAGUCAAAGACAAAAGUCAGCAAGUAAAGGAGAAAGGGAAGAUUAUAUUCUGUUUUAAGAGAAAGGCAAUAGAAAGAAUAGCUAAAUUUGAAAUUCAAUAAUUCAAUUUAAUAAGCAUUUAAUACAGACUCCUUUCCAAAUCUGUGACUUCAUCAGAAGAGCACAGAGAUUAAGAAGGCUUCUAUUUACUAAGCUGUGAUCUUGGGCCCUUACUUAACUGCUCUGUGACUCUGUUUCUCUAUCUGUAAAAUGGAGAUAAUAAGGGAAAAAAAUAGAAUUUCCCCAGAAUUUAGCACAACUUCAAAUUACUGCCUAUUUCUGUCAUUCCAAACCUAGUGAAAGUUCCUGAAAAUCUAGCAGAGAGAGGGGAUGCCAACAUGUAUUGUGCACCUACUGUAUGCUAGUACUCUAAAAGUUAUCUUAUUUAACAUCCUAGACUUGUGAGAAAACAUGUUUCUCAGUACAUAUAAGAAAUGGAGUUUUAGAGAUCCUAAGGCUUAGAUCGGCAGCUGGGAGUGACCUAAAAUCUACCUCUCGUGAAGCAUAGCAUGAAGCGGUGUUCCACAGAGCAGGAUCUCUGGGUCACACUACCUUAGAGUCACUUGAUAUGCUUGUUAAAAUGAAAGGUUCCUGGACUUUCACAGAGACCUGCUUAAUUUCAAUCUCUUUACAGUAACAGAAUUUCAAUCUCUAGAUGGAAGUGGUUUUAAUAAGUCACCCACAGCCAUGAUUCCUCUGCACCAUCUAGAGCUGUUGGUCUGUUGAUCUGGAUCAUGGACACUGAAAUCAGGCCUUAUCAUGGUUUUGCUAGAUUCUAGAAUGUGACCUUGGGCAUAUUACCUAACCUUUCAGAGAUUCUUUGCCUUAUCCAACACAUGGAAAUAAUAGAACCUUAUCAUAAGGUUGAUGCAAUGAUUAAAUAAUGAAUGCUUAGUACCAAGUUCAAGAUCUGAAACAUAGUAAUUAUUAUUUCCUCCCCAUAGCAUUAACUUUAUUUCUUCCUUGCUUUCUCACUCAACUUAAGGAUUCACUGUGUUUGGUUUCUUCCCUGUCACUCACCUGAAACCAGACAAACAGAUACGACCAGUGGCCUCCUUGACAAACCCAGCAACCUCCUCUCUGCUCUCGUGCAGCUUUGUAUCCAUUUUGUCUAUCAUUUAUUCAUUAAAACUGUAUUGUUUUAAAGAGAACAUCUGCUCUGGCCCAUUCACUGGGCUAAUUAGAAGAUACAAUCUUGAAUACAGGAAGGUAAAUCCCUGCCCUCAUGGAACCUUCCAGUUUGUGUUGAGGUCAUUGAUUUCAAUAAGUACCCACAUGUAAGCACAUCAACAAAUUGUACUAAGAAAGGAAAGACCGGCCUGGUCUAAAAGAGAAUACGGAAGGGGUAUUUCGACAAAGAAGGCCAGGGAAGGUCUAGGACCCAGGAAAGAUCCAAGGACAAAGAGUCAUUUUUAAAUAAUGAACAACAGCAUGUGGGAAGACCCCGAGGGAGAAAAGGGCUUGUCACCUUGGAGGAAAUAAAAGAAUGUCCAUGUGCCUGGACAAGAGGAAGGACAAUAUGAAAUGAACCAGGACAAUGGGCAUAGGCUUAGCUCUGUAGAGCCAGGAGGAGGGUUUGGCCUGAAUUCCACGGGCAGUUCAGGGCCUCCAGAAGUUUCUGAGCCAGAGGAUGGUACAGUCACUGUGGCUGCAGUCCGGAGGAUGGGUUAGAAGGGGGCCAGAAGAGAAGCUGAGAGAGUUGAUUUGGAGAGCUUGAAUGUGGGCAUGAAAGUGGAGCUGGAUGCACAAAUGGAAGAAUUCUAGAUAAAUCUUCAGUGGAGAUAGAGAGAAUUUGGAGAUGCUUUGGAUGUGGAAUAUAAAGCAGGAAGAGAUGCCAUGAACUAUUCUCAUGCUCAUACAUGAGCAACUGGCUGCGUAGUAGAGCCAUUUCCCAAAAAGAGGCUCCAGUAACUCUCUGGGGAAAAACAGGAUCUGUAUAUUUCUAGAAAUCUCCCAGAUGAUUCUGAUGGCUAGCCCUUGUAAGAAGAGGCAACCUGGAGAGGUGGUACAGAGGAUAGUAUUUAACUUUAAUGGCUAAUGAUUAUCUUUCUAUGGAGGUAAUUUACCUUAUUCAAAUCUUGCCAUUUGAUGUCUGUCACUGGGAAAGUUGGUUUCCUCACCUAUAAAAUGGAAAUAGCAACAGAACCUGCUUUAUAGGAUGUUGUAAGGUAUCAAUCUUAUAAAACAUUUGGAACACUUCCAAGCCACCAUUUUUAGAUCAGUCAGUUGAACAGGCCAGGUGCCUUCACAUUUCGAAGCCCUUGCCCUGCCAUUUCUCCAUGUGAUGAUUUCCUAUAUUCUCUUCAGAGACAGCUUUUCUUGACUAUUCCCCCUACCACCCCUGACCCCAGCCAAUAACUUGGGCCAUGUCUCCUGCUUGCAUGAUUACAGGAAUUAACAAAGGCUAUUAGAGUUUCUUAUUAGUUUGUCUCCUUAACAAGACUUGGAACUACUGGGAAUAGCUGGCCUUAUACAAAUAAAUAUCCACAGAACUUAGUCUGAUGGCAUAGCUUGAAGUCCAGAAUGAAUUUGUUGAAUUUAAUUAAGUUUAGCUAAAAUAAAAUAUUGAAACCUUCAGGGAAUGAAUCUCACAAAGUAAGUUUCCUUGUGUAUUAUAUGGUAUCAUAUGGAUGCAGACACAGCAAAUUACGCUCAAGGGAUAUAAAAAAUUCACCCUAAAUGUCUACUUAAGCCCAACUUGAAGUCUAGACCAGUCAUGCCAAGCAUAACACCUUUCUUAUCUGCCUCUCACCUCUGCUUGCUUCUUCCUGAGCAAUGUGGGGCCCAUGCCUUUCUGAGGAACAGGAGAAAGGGGGUUGGGGAGGCAGAGACAUACUCCUACAACUUUACAGAAUCUUCCUUCACCCCUUAAUGGGGGCAGAGAAGGUGGAGGUGCUGGAACAAGUAUGCUGAGGCUGGUUAGAGUCCUUUCUUCCCAUGGGCCCAGGUAUAGAGAGUUCAAACACCAGUAGACAAAUAGCAGUAAUAUUGUAGGUAUAGCAAACACCCCAGAACAACCUUUGUAAUAGGACACAUGGUUUCUACCAUAUGCCCUUGUGUGGAAACAGAACUUGAUCUCUUUCAUGUUAAUACUUCUGGAGCCUCCAGCCUCCAGAAAAUAUAUGUGACAUACUGAUCGUGCAUUUUAAGCCAAAAUAAUUUCAGAAUUUGGUUUAAAGCAUACUAAUGCUCCUGGGGGCUCCAAUCUCCAGAAAUUAUGCAGGAGGUACUAGUCAUAAAUUUUAAAAUUAUUUGAUAAAGGAUUUGGAUCACUGGGGGAAAAGAUGAAAAGAACUUUCACUCUAUCCUUUAAUCUCAAGGCAAAUGGGCAUCGCAGGAGGCAGUUUAACAUGUACAAGCAAACAAUCUGUGAAGUCACAUGGACCUGUGUCCAAUCCUGGGUCCAAAUCAUUCACUUUUUAGUUCUGUGCUCUAAUUAAAGUUAAUAAUGAUGAUUAUAAUACAGCUAACACAUGUGUUUAUUCCAUACCAGACUCUGUUCUCAGUGCUUUACAUGUAUUAUUUUACUCUGAAGAAAAAUAAAAGUCUUAAGGGAGAUAUUACUAUCAUAUUUUAUAGUGAAGGAAACAAGGCACAGAAAGGUUUAGUUAACUAGUUCAGGCUGGUUAACAGCAGAGCCUGGAUUUAAACCCAAGCAGCAUAGGAUUUAAGCCCAUAUAGUCUGGCUCCACGUUCCCGUGCUUAUACCCACCGCAUUUCCCUGCCCACAUGUGCCUCAGGAGCACAUUGUCUGACUCUCAGAAUCUGAGUUUCCUUGUCUGUAAAAAGGCCAACCUUAGUGGGGCCUCAAAGGAUGAUGUCAGUAGAACCCUAAACCCCAAAGAGCACCCAGACUAGGCCAAAUGCCUUUAAUUUUCAACUUGUAUGCUUACAAUGUAUGAUCAGCAUUCUAAAUAAAUUCUACUAAAAGUCAAGUUAUCUGACUGAUGAACAGCAAAUGUAUGGGUGGGCUGGACAAAUUGGAGGCUUUAAAAUAUACUUCUCUGAAACUUCAUUUGAUCCAGAAGGCAGUCUUAGUCUGUGAAGCCAAAUAUCUCCAUAUCCCUAAGUAAACUGUGGCUUUUAGUACCAGCAGAAGCCCACCAACAGGUAACAACCCAGGGAAGGUAUGAGACAAAAGCUAGGAGAGCCCAGAGGGAGACCAAUUAUUUAGACCUGCAGGGACCAGUUAGAAAAGUCCUUGAAGCAUGAUCAUAAAUUUCUAGGAAGGGAAGAGGGAAGGCUAAAGUGAUGAGAGGAAUUUGCAUAGUCAAGGUCACUGAGGCAUUGAGAACUCACUCCACACAGGGUUGGAGAAGAGAGAACACUGAACAGCAGGAAUGAAGGAGGCCUGGGAAGCAGGACCAGCGAGAGGGUACAAAGGGCCUUGAAUUUCACACAACAGAAGGUAGACUUAAUUCUGUGUGCUAGAGGGAGACGUCAAGAGUUUAUUUAAAGGGAAGGACAUCAUCAGAUCUGUGCUGUAGGAAAACAAUUAGGAGACCAAUUUUGAGGUAUAGAGUAUAAGGGCACAUCUGGUUUUCUUUCACACAGAUUAAAGUAUACACUAAAAUCUACCAGUAUAUCAAAAUCUUGACAGAAAAGGGCCAAAAGGUAUUUGUCACUGGACCAAAAAUGAAAAUAAGUCAUUAUAACCUCUAAAGAAAAUUAAAGUAAGAAACUGUAGUUGUUAGCAAAACUGCCACAUAAAACUUCAGACUCAAGAAGAAAUGUAGAAUUACGCACAUAUUUCCACCAGAGAACGGAAUCUGGACAGAGUGGGUGAAGUAAGCAAAGAAGUAAAAAAAUGUGUUCAAAGCUGAAGAACCGCCUUGCUUGUCACCAAGAGCCAACAGUGUUUUCUUUGAAUCAGCUCUCAUAUUCCCCUGAAGAGAAGUUGAUAGUGUUGUGGAAAAUUCAACUAUUGAACUCACAAUGAAAACUGCAACCCAAUCUGAGUAGACCGGUAUUAUGUCAAAAUGACAAGUUUCUGAACUUUUGACCCCCUCACUGAAAAGGUGGAGUGAGAGAGUGUUUCAAAAGAAUCAAGUUUGAAUAAUAGAAAAUAACUACCACUUGCCCACCACACGCAUUUGACCUCGGAGGAAUGGGAAUAGGGCACUUUAAUGUAGUUGUCCAUGCUGGUCACUGAUUUUCCCAUGUAUUCCAAACACAAAUACCAUUUCUUCAGUGUCCCUCCCAGUACCCUCCUUCUAAGUGACAUGUUCCCAUAUUGAAUAUCUUUUCCCAUAUUUAAUCAUCCUUAGUACUUAUAUGGGUAAUUUGUCUGAAGUAUUUGUUUUUCUCAAACACAGCCUUUUAAAUGUUCUUUAUAUAUACAUCAUUUGUCUCCCCAGUUUAACUGUAAACAUUUUAAAACUGGGAAUAUCUGGGUGUAUUUCUCUAAAUUUUUCACCUUGCCUUAAGUGGCAUGUAAAAAAUAAAAAAAAACAACAAAACAGUGGUAACAAAAAUGGCUAAGGUUUUCUGAAUGCUAAGCAUGUGGUCAGCAUUGUUUCAAGAGCUGUACAUGGAUGAACUCAAUUAUUACAACUACGUGAGGUAGAAACUGCUGUUGCCCUCAGUUUACACUUGAGGAAACUGACUCAUGGGAAGGUCAAUCAUCUUUCCCAUAGUCACACCGCCAGUAAGAGUGUGAUCUCAGGCAGUCUGAUGCCAGAAUUGGGCUCCAAUGUACCCUUAAUAUGUAUUUUUUUUCCUUGAAUUCAAAUUUCGAAAGGAAAAUGGAGUUGAAAAUCAGAGGCGGCCCCAGCUAGGAACUGCUGACAAGAUUUGGGAUAAAGUAAGAUUUAUCCUUUUUAAAAAUUGGAGAAACAAUCUUUCUAUGGUCUCUGCAAGAUCUCAUAGGCUGUCAUAGCGUAGGGUCACCUUUGACAGCGACACCAAGGGAAACGUGGCUUGCUUGCCCCCUGCCCACACUGCACUGCCUCUACCUUAGUUUGCUGUCACUUCCCAGGAUCUGGAGAUCAAUGUGAGGGAAGGAAGUGCAGUGGUAGUAAGAAGAGUUAUCCCCAAACAUAUCCUCUCCUCACCUAAAUGGUGAGCCCUUCUCUCACUUUCUGGUCAGCUAAGGACUGUGAUUGGCAUGUGAAAAGAGGGAGGAGGAAGAGCAUCAGCGGCCCAGGAGGAGUUCAGAGAAGAGAACAGGACCUGGGCAGGCCUGGCACCGCUCUUUGCUACAAACAUCCUGCCAACCACCAUGGAAGUGCCUGCUUUCCUCAAGGUCCUGUAAACCGGCACAGUGCAAAACCCCUGGGAAGUGGGGCUGAGCUGCAGUGCUGCAGCUGACAAGGCAGCAGGUGACAGCUGUGAUUCCAGAGAAGUCCCCCUCCCAGAGCAUACCUUUGAUAGCUGCCUCCUCAUCUGCACCCCUUCUCCUGCCUCCCACCCACCAAGCCAGCGUGCCUAAGCCUCAGCAGAGUCUCCUAAUGCUCCGCAUGGGGUGGAAAAGCAGAGGAGCAAAGCUGGAGGUCACGGCUGGGAGGCCCCACAGGUUUGCAGCUCCUCCUGGAUGAGGUAACUUAGAUAUUUAAUGAUAUUCCUCCAUUUCUUCUGACUUCUAUUGUUGCUCUUCAAAAAUCAUUGCAAUGACCUUCGAUGCACAUCUGAUGUUAUGAUAUAUGACAUGACACAUCAUGGGAAUUUCACUACACAUGACAUGAGUGACAGUCAGACAAUGGCACACCCCAGAAAAUGCAGCCAUAUGAAAGAGAAACUCCCAUCAGAGUAACGAAUAGAAUGUAGUGUGAAUGAUGCUGCUUCAAUGCUGGCCUUGGCUUCCAAGAGGACUGGCAGCUUCCACUUCCUCCCUGUGGGCUGCUGAUCUGCGCCACCUUUCAGAAAGAUCAGCCGCCUAAUAGAUGGACACUGAACCAGUCCAUGUGGAGAGGAAGACACCUUGAGAUUAUAUAGAAAAGGAGAAAAGCCCAGUCAUCCCAGCAUCCCAAAGAAGACUCGGGAUUACUCCAGCCAGUCACUAUUCACAGCAAUGACUUAAGAGAUGUCAACCAGGUUACCU